AUGGUUGUUCACGAUACUUUGUCGCAUGUCAAUGGAGUAAAGAUGAAGGAUAUUUGUGUUCCAAACUAUUUCCAGUCCAGUGAAGAUGAUGAAGAGGUGCAAGCAUUGGUCGAUGUUAUGUGCAUGCAUGCUAAUGUAUUGCACAAGAUGGGCGUAAGCCAAGAAAAUAAACAUUCACUGGCUCAGGACCAGAUCAGAAUUGUUUCAGGAUUUUACAUGCAUGCAACCAUGCAAGAAAUAAAGGUAAACAAACGUGCAAUGGAAACCGGCCUAGGAUGCUAUUCCGUUUGUGUUCUAGGAGGCGAGAUCCAUUCAGUGCAUGCAACCAAGAACUAUGGAUAUUUAAUUGGGGAUAUUAUAGAAGUUAAAGGAGGGAUUAAGGAACGAUUCAUGCUUUUGUUUCUACCACGCAAGGAGUACCAGGCAAUUACAAACAUGAUGCGCAACGUGUGGAGUUUUCUAUGCUUAAAAGAAGUAGGCUGGGGGCCACCGAAACAAGUCAAGAGAGAUAGCGCACCAUAA
This 522-nucleotide ribosomal RNA is filed under the name Triticum aestivum (bread wheat). RNAcentral describes it as "partial small subunit ribosomal RNA". Lineage: Eukaryota; Viridiplantae; Streptophyta; Magnoliopsida; Poales; Poaceae. The record is from RNAcentral.